GACGAACGCUGGCGGCGUGCCUAAUACAUGCAAGUGGGGCGCAAGGAAACACACUGUGCUUGCACACCGUGUUUUCUUGAGUCGCGAACGGGUGAGUAACGCGUAGGUAACCUGCCUAUUAGCGGGGGAUAACUAUUGGAAACGAUAGCUAAUACCGCAUAAUAUUAAUUAUUGCAUGAUAAUUGAUUGAAAGAUGCAAGCGCAUCACUAGUAGAUGGACCUGCGUUGUAUUAGCUAGUUGGUAAGGUAAGAGCUUACCAAGGCGACGAUACAUAGCCGACCUGAGAGGGUGAUCGGCCACACUGGGACUGAGACACGGCCCAGACUCCUACGGGAGGCAGCAGUAGGGAAUCUUCGGCAAUGGACGAAAGUCUGACCGAGCAACGCCGCGUGAGUGAAGAAGGUUUUCGGAUCGUAAAGCUCUGUUGUAAGUCAAGAACGUGUGUGAGAGUGGAAAGUUCACACAGUGACGGUAGCUUACCAGAAAGGGACGGCUAACUACGUG
Molecule: ribosomal RNA, 505 nt
Filed under: uncultured bacterium
Lineage: Bacteria
Description: partial 16S ribosomal RNA
Rfam family: Bacterial small subunit ribosomal RNA
Source: RNAcentral